UCGGGAAUUUUGGGCAAUGGGCGAAAGCCUGACCCAGCAACGCCGCGUGAAGGAUGAAAUCUUUCGGGAUGUAAACUUCGGAAGAAUAGGAAGAAUAAAAUGACGGUACUAUUUUAAGGUCCGGCUAACUACGUGCCAGCAGCCGCGGUAAUACGUAGGGACCAAGCGUUGUUCGGAUUUACUGGGCGUAAAGGGCGCGUAGGCGGCGUAAUAAGUCACUUGUGAAAUCUCCGGGCUUAACUCGGAGCGGCCAAGUGAUACUGUUAGGCUAGAGUGCAGAAAGGGCAAUCGGAAUUCUUGGUGUAGCGGUGAAAUGCGUAGAUAUCAAGAGGAACACCUGAGGCGAAGGCGGGUUGCUAGGCUGACACUGACGCUGAGGCGCGAAAGCUAGGGUAGCAAACGGG
This 404-nucleotide ribosomal RNA is filed under the name uncultured bacterium. RNAcentral describes it as "bacterial SSU rRNA". It matches the Rfam family "Bacterial small subunit ribosomal RNA", at positions 355 to 776 of the family's 1533-position model. The record is from RNAcentral.